Molecule: ribosomal RNA, 426 nt
Filed under: uncultured eukaryote
Lineage: Eukaryota
Description: bacterial SSU rRNA
Rfam family: Eukaryotic small subunit ribosomal RNA
Source: RNAcentral
CAAUAGCGUAUAUUAAAGUUGUUGCAGUUAAAAAGCUCGUAGUUGGAUUUCUGGCUGGAGCGAUCGGUCCGCCCCGCAAGGGGUGUGUACUAGCGUCGUCUCCGACCAUCCUUGUGGGAACUGUGCGGCCGUUAACUCGGUUGUAUAUGGGAACACAUCGUUUACUGUGAAAAAAUUAGAGUGUUUAAAGCAGGCUUAAGCCGUUGGAUACAUUAGCAUGGAAUAAUAAGAUAGGACCUCGGUUCUAUUUUGUUGGUUUCUAGAGCUGAGGUAAUGAUUAAUAGGGAUAGUUGGGGGCAUUCGUAUUUAACUGUCAGAGGUGAAAUUCUUGGAUUAUCGGAAGAUGAACUUCUGCGAAAGCAUCUGCCAAGGAUGUUUUCAUUGAUCAAGAACGAAAGUUAGGGAUCGAAGAUGAUUAGAUACCGU